Molecule: transfer RNA, 86 nt
Filed under: Ilumatobacteraceae bacterium
Lineage: Bacteria; Bacillati; Actinomycetota; Acidimicrobiia; Acidimicrobiales; Ilumatobacteraceae
Also listed under: 1 other name
Description: tRNA-Leu
Rfam family: tRNA
About the family: Transfer RNA (tRNA) molecules are approximately 80 nucleotides in length. Their secondary structure includes four short double-helical elements and three loops (D, anti-codon, and T loops). Further hydrogen bonds mediate the characteristic L-shaped molecular structure. tRNAs have two regions of fundamental functional importance: the anti-codon, which is responsible for specific mRNA codon recognition, and the 3' end, to which the tRNAs corresponding amino acid is attached (by aminoacyl-tRNA synthetases). tRNAs cope with the degeneracy of the genetic code in two manners: having more than one tRNA (with a specific anti-codon) for a particular amino acid; and 'wobble' base-pairing, i.e. permitting non-standard base-pairing at the 3rd anti-codon position.
Source: RNAcentral
GCGCGAGUGGCGAAAUGGCAGACGCGCUGGCUUCAGGUGCCAGUGUUCGAAAGGACGUGGGGGUUCAAGUCCCCCCUCGCGCACCA